AUUGAACGCUGGCGGCAGGCCUAACACAUGCAAGUCGAACGAGUGGCGGACGGGUGAGUAAUGUCUGGGAAACUGCCUGAAGGAGGGGGAUAACUACUGGAAACGGUAGCUAAUACCGCAUACCAUCAGAUGUGCCAAGAUGGGAUUAGAUUGUGGGUGGGGUAACGGCUCACAAAGGCGACGACCCCUAGCUGGUCUGAGAGGAUGACCGGCCACCUGGGACCUGAGACACGGUCCAUACUCCUACGGGAGGCAGCAGUGGGGAAUAUUGGACAAUGGGCGCAAGCCUGAUACAGCCAUGCCGCGUGGAUGAAGAGGGCCUUCGGGUGGUAAAGUACUUUCAGCGGGGAGGCGUUACCCGCAGAAGAAGCACCGGCUAACUCCGUGCCAGCAGCCGCGGUAAUUC
This 406-nucleotide ribosomal RNA is filed under the name uncultured bacterium. RNAcentral describes it as "partial 16S ribosomal RNA". It matches the Rfam family "Bacterial small subunit ribosomal RNA", at positions 30 to 526 of the family's 1533-position model. The record is from RNAcentral.